UACGUAGGGGGCGAGCGUUGUCCGGAGUUACUGGGCGUAAAGCGCACGCAGGCGGUCUGCUAAGUUUGGAGUGACAGUUGGUGGCUUAACUGCCAAAGUGCUUCGAAAACUGACAGACUUGAGGGCUUCAGAGGGACACGGAAUCCGGGUGGAGUGGUGAAAUGCGUAGAGAUCCGGAGGAACACCAAAGGCGAAGGCAGUGUCCUGGGGAGUACCUGACGCUCAGGUGCGAAAGCCAGGGGAGCGAACGGG
This 252-nucleotide ribosomal RNA is filed under the name uncultured bacterium. RNAcentral's name for it is "partial 16S ribosomal RNA". It matches the Rfam family "Bacterial small subunit ribosomal RNA", at positions 524 to 776 of the family's 1533-position model. The record is from RNAcentral.